AUGAACGCUGGCGGCGUGCCUAAUACCUGCAAGUCGCGCGAACGGACGAGAAGCUUGCUUCUCUGAUGUUAGCGGCGGACGGGUGAGUAACACGUGGAUAACCUACCUAUAAGACUGGGAUAACUUCGGGAAACCGGAGCUAAUACCGGAUAAUAUUUUGAACCGCAUGGUUCAAAAGUGAAAGACGGUCUUGCUGUCACUUAUAGAUGGAUCCGCGCUGCAUUAGCUAGUUGGUAAGGUAACGGCUUACCAAGGCAACGAUGCAUAGCCGACCUGAGAGGGUGAUCGGCCACACUGGAACUGAGACACGGUCCAGACUCCUACGGGAGGCAGCAGUAGGGAAUCUUCCGCAAUGGGCGAAAGCCUGACGGAGCAACGCCGCGUGAGUGAUGAAGGUCUUCGGAUCGUAAAACUCUGUUAUUAGGGAAGAACAUAUGUGUAAGUAACUGUGCACAUCUUGACGGUACCUAAUCAGAAAGCCACGGCUAACUACGU
Molecule: ribosomal RNA, 495 nt
Filed under: uncultured bacterium
Lineage: Bacteria
Description: partial 16S ribosomal RNA
Rfam family: Bacterial small subunit ribosomal RNA
Source: RNAcentral